AGUACAAAACAUGUAUUUAGGGUGGAGACGAGGAACGGGGGAACGACCCUGAGGAUGAUUGGAAGAAUUUCAUAAGCUGAGAAAUUUGUUGUUGCAUUUCCAACUGCCUAGUCUCCAUUUCUGCUUCUUUUCGUCGUCGCUCCUGCACCUCAGCCUCCAUUUCUGCUUCUUUUCGUCGUCGCUCCUGCACCUCAGCCUGUAGAGUAGCUUGUAGAGUAGCCUCUCUCUGUUGUGUCUGCUCUAACUCUGUCUGGAGCUGUGCAAUCUGAGCUGAGACUGCUGCUGAAGGAAAUUGAGACGAGCACGUCGAAUGAGUGCUCGUCGAACCAGUGGAACGCAUCUGAGACAUAAUGCCCAAUCCGAGUCUACGCCCCUUCGGAUCUGGCGUCACCACCUCCCUAUAGAUCUGACUGACCUCAUCUGGAGUGACAUCUCGUCCAAGAGUAGAGCGUAACUCCUCGACUCGACUAUGUAUCUCAAGCUACAUUUAGAUGCAUUACAAACAACUUAAAAUGUGAUAAAAUAGAAUUAAAUGCUUAGAAUAAUUAAAAUGUUCAUAUUACUUACACCCUGAGUCUGUGCCCGUCCAUCGAACUGUCCUUUCUUAAAGUGCAUCCUCAUGAAAGUAUCAUAAUGUGCAUCUGCGAUAGAAAUGUUCUUCUCUCGAGCCUGUAAUAAAGAAAGAUGAUUCAAAAUUAAAUUAUUGAAUUAUUGAAUUUUUUACAAAGAUAAAAACACGUUUGCAAUAACUUACCACAUGCUCAGCAUGACUAAUAGCACUGCGAGAGCCUCCAUAGUGGAUAGAUAAUCCUGUACCUGGACCAGCAGGCUCAGAUCGACGAUUCUUGCUCGCCUGCUGCGACUUAACUUGGAAUUCAGGUGUCGCCCAAUAUUCCUUCCACUUUGUAACAAUGUCUUUAUGAAGAAAUUGAGGUCUGCUCCCUUCAUCGAUAAUAACCUUACAUCCAUGGACAAAAUCUUUAUAAGCAUGCCUAGCUUGUGAGAUCCAUGUCUUACGAAUGACGUCCGAGCUGUAAACUUCCCCAUCCCAUGUAAAAGAUUUCUACAACAUUUGAAUUUGAAGUUAGUAUAAAUUUAAUGAUAUCUAAACUAAAUAAUUACUAUAAUAUACCUUAAACUCAUCAUAAUAUAUGUCUAUGGUGCUGGGCGACAAACUCUUCCAAUUGACGCCUUCAGGAUCUAUGAAGCCUUGAAAGCUUGAAGUAGUUGUACGUCGAAUCUUCUCAGUCGGCCUCAAAAUGCUGAAUUAUAAAGUAUUGAAUUCAAUAUUAGUAACUCAAAUUAAAUAUAUCAUAACAUUUUACUUAAUUCGACAAACAUAUAUACAUACCCAUUUUCCAACCAACAGAUCCGCCUACCGUCAGUAGCUAAUUCUGGACGGACUGCCGACGCCUGCGUCUCAGAAACGUGUGUCUCAGUAGCACGGGUCUCAGUAGCACGAGACUCAGUCGAGUCUGAGUCGGUGGGAUGCGAAGCAGAACUACUCAUCUUCUAUCUAAAAAUGGUAUAUGAUAGUGAUAUGUGAUAGCGAUAUAAUAAUUAAUAAUUAUUAUGAUCAUAAAAAAAUAGAGAGAAAAUGAUUGCUUAGUAAAUGAAACAGACAAGUAACAUCAAAAUCAUCUAAAUCAUAUAUCAUCUUCAUCCCUUGAAACACACAAGUAAAUGAAACAGAUAAGUAAAUGAAACAGACAAGUAACAUCAAAAUCAUCUAAAUCAUAUAUCAUCUUCAUCCCUUGAAACAGACAAGUAAAUGAAACAGACAAAUAACAUGCAUUGUACCUUGAAAAUGAAACAGACAAGUAAAUGUUGACAAGAAAGACAAAAUAAUAACUAUUCUAUAUCAUCUAAAUCAUCGGCUUCAGAGGAUGAUGUUUCCAGAAUGCUUUCAUGAAUUGCAUCUUCAUCUCCAUCCUCAUCCUCUACCAUGUCUACCAAGCCACCAUCAGGAUGAACGGGAAUUGGAUCAUCAUCUAUUAUUGUAUGAUGAACUUGGGUAAACAACUCCUCUUGGAAAGGCAAAGAAGUUUCAUUGCUCGAAACUUCUACAAGCGAUCUUGCCUUCACUUUGCAAGCUGCCAACCAGUUUCGCCUAGUCACAUUUUUACUUGGGUAUGUGCAGUAAUAAACUUGAAUAGCUUGUGAUGCUAGGACAAAUGGUUCAUAUUUAUUGUAUAAAUGAGUUUGGUUGAUGGAAACCAACUUGAAUUCUCGAUCCACAAACGUCCAAGUUGGAGAAGGGUCAAACCAUUGACACUUGAACAAAGUGGUUUUUUUGGUUGGUAGCCCAGGAUACUCCAAAAUCACAACCUCCAACAAACGCCCAUAAUAAUCUUGUUGAACUCCACCUAACACCGACCCCUUUACACAAAUUCCACUGUUGUCAGUUUUGUUUCUCGACCCGUAUUCCACUGUCUGAAAUUUAAAUCCAUUGACAUAAAAACCUUGAUAACAUGUCACCCUUUGUAAUGGCCCCAACGACAAAUGACGCAAGUAUAUGUUGUCAAUUUCAUUGUUUGGAUCUCCAACCUAAUACAAGUAAAGUGUCAAUAAAAAGAAAAUUAACAUGUAAAUAAUUAUGUGAAACAUUUACUAAAAUUCUUACAUAUGAUUUGAACCAUUUGGCAAACUCGGUAUCAAACUUGAUCUGGAGCUGAUUGGCCGUGAUCCUUGGGAAUUUAUAUUUGAUUUCAUCAAAGAACAACCCAAUGUACGUGUUUGUAACCUCUGGGCAAUUGUUAAGGACAUACAAAUGUGCAGCAUCAUACUUGUCCAUAACAAUGCAGCUCGCAUCUGGAAAUUAUUUUUUGAUGAAAUAUCAUAUGUCUCUGCACCAACUUCCCAAAGAUGUGUUAGCUCAGCUAUGAGGGGUUGAAGGAAAACAUCAAUCAUCUCUUUGGGGUUAUGUGGUCCCGGAAUUACAGCUGUAAGGAACAUGUUUUGUUCUCUCAUACACAUCCAUGGCGGAAGGUUAUAAGGUGUGAUUAUGAUUGGCCACGAGGAGUAUUGCUGCCCAUAUUUGUUGAAUGGCUGAAAGCCAUCUGUGCAAAGGCCCAAUCUUACAUUUCUCACCUCUGCUGCAAAAUCGGGAAAUGUAGUGUUGAAAUGCUUCCACGCAAGUGAGUCAGCGGGAUGCCUCAUCACACCAUCAUCUUGUGACGUCCCAUGCCAACGCAUUUGGGCUGCAGUAGCAUUAGAUGCGUACAACCUUUGUAGCCUUGGAGUUAAUGGAAAAUAAUGCAUUUGACUGACUGCAAUCAUCCUUUGCCUUCGGCUUCCAUCCUUUGUCUGUUUGUACCGUUUUGCUUCACAAAACUUACAUUCAUCCAGAUUUUCGUCAACCCCCCAAAAGAGCAUGCAGUUGUUUCGGCAACAAUCAAUCUUCUCGACGGGUAAACCCAUCCCACGUAGAAGCUUCUUUGCACUAUAGAAAUUAUCCGUAACCAAGUUGUCUUCAGGUACUAUCUCCUUGAUCAACUCCAAAAUUUGAUCAAAACAAUGUUCUGAUAGGUGGUUCUCGGAUUUUAUGUUCAUCAACCUCGCCACAAGUGACAAUUGUGUGUGAUUCUUACAACCGGGCCAUAAUUCUCUAUCAGCAGCCUUCAACAUAUCGUAUAACAGUUGAGCAGCAGGAUUUGGGGGUUCAUCCACUACGCUUCUACUAAUAAAUUGUGCAUUUGCAACAUCCAUUAUCAUUGUCUCAUACCUAUUCUGCACACCAUCAAGUGGUCCAGGUGAUACAGUUCGUGAAGAAUUUAGGGGUUCACCGUGCAUAACCCAAUUCUCAUAUUUAGGAAUAAACCCAUUUUUUGCUAGAUGAACCCUCACAGUCAUAGGAUCAUCCCAUCUUUUGUUCUUGCAUUUAGUGCAGGGACACUUGAUCAUUGAUCCCUCCAUGAAUCUUGGUUGAGACAAUGCAUAAUGAACAAAGAUUUCAACACCCUCAACGAACUCCUGGGUAAGACUUCCGUUCGCAACACGUCUAUACAUCCACCCUCGAUCAAAACUCAUAUUUCCUAGUCAUCAAAAGUCUUUUAGAUAAUAGUAUUUGGUGUUUAUUAUGACACUUAAAAGCUUUCUAGAUAAUAUAACUUAAUGUUAUCUAUGAAUGCGUAUUUCCUCCAAAAAAAAAACAUGUAUUUCUGCCUCAAAAGAAACAUAAAUAAUGUAUAAAUCAAAUUAAAACAUUUCCUCAAAAGAGAGCAUAUAUUGAUGUGUUCAAAUAUAAAAACAUGCAUCUUUGCCUCUCCCCCACCGGCAAUUUCAAAUAAAUAGAUAUGCAUAUUUGCCUCUCCCCCACCGGCAAUUUCAAAUAAAUAAACAUGUAUUUUUGCCUCUCCCCCACCGGCAAUUUCAAAUAAAUAAACAUGUAUUUCUGCCUCUCCCCCACCGGCAAUUUCAAAUAAAUAAAACACUAACCUGGACACAAUGAUGUAAGAGCACAACGACGAUGGCACAACAGCUAGCAAUUGGCAAACGGGCACAGGACAAGACUAAAACAGAAAAAAUUAAAUCAAAACACAGAUAUUCCGACCAAAUAAGCAAAUACAACACAAACCAUUCUUGUAGAUAACAGUUCCCCUAGACCUCCAUUCUUAUAAUAUCUAUAAAGAGGAAGACAUGAUCAGGAACCAAUCGGAUUAAACUAUGUUCUAUUAGCUCACAUAGAGCACUGAUGUCCAGCCCAUGUUACAUUAUCACAAAAUAAUCAAGGGGUAUGCUGCAGUUCCCAUAGAAUAUGGCUUGUUGUCUUUUUGAUUUUAUGAUGUGGAAGUUGUGGUUAUAUAGAUAGAUAGCACAUAGAAUAUCCUAAUUUUAGGAGUUGAAGAGACUAAAUUAGCAGCCCCUAUACGGGACAAAAAACACUAAACCUACAAGCCUAUUUUAGUAUUAUUAUUGAAUUGCAUUACUUGAUUAUAGUUACUUCACACACUGUACAUCACAUUGUCAUUCAGCAGAUUUAGAUAUGGUUUUGACAUAUAUGGAAGUUAUUAGACUUGGGCUUUAUAUAUAUGAAGUGAGAAAAUCAGUACAUAGGUCUAAAAGAUUUCUGGAGUACCAGUGAAUAACUUGAAAGAAGCAGGCAACGAUCUUUUCUCUUUGGCCCAGAAAACACCAGAUUUCUUUGAGUGAUAAAGUCCAGGAUCAAUAAUUAUAGGCCUAGUUCUUUGGUAUCUGCAAAUAACAAACAAAGACCAAAUACAGUUGAAUUGGAAAGCCAUUUCAGCAAAUGUAAGGCCGAUGGAGACAAGUUAAGGGCAUAAGUCCAGUGCUCACUCUUUCCAACCAAAGUCACUAGUAUGCUCAAGGAAAUUCAGAUCCCUGCAGCAAAUUCAGAUCCAUUCAGCAGCUUCGGCUUGAGCAGAAGCCUUACCUUCUGUCCACCGUCUCAGUGCCUUGGCAACGGCUAAAACCAUAUUUAAUCAAAUUAGUAUCAACAUAUUGCUCCAAUAGUAGCAUAUAGAUAACAAAUGAUUAAUCUAAAGACUCACUUCUCAAAGCCUCAGAGAACUCAAUCAGAUUAUCUUCGAUUCCUUGGAGAGGAGGCUGUUGAAUAAGUUCCUCUAUAGAUUUUUCUGAGCUCAAAACCGAGGUAGAAUCUAGACAGCCAUACUCAGCAAACC
This 5642-nucleotide long non-coding RNA is filed under the name Salvia miltiorrhiza (redroot sage). Its description in RNAcentral is "long non-coding RNA (SMIL_LNC010445)". The record is from RNAcentral. Lineage: Eukaryota; Viridiplantae; Streptophyta; Magnoliopsida; Lamiales; Lamiaceae.